This 496-nucleotide ribosomal RNA is filed under the name uncultured bacterium. RNAcentral describes it as "partial 16S ribosomal RNA". It matches the Rfam family "Bacterial small subunit ribosomal RNA", at positions 29 to 507 of the family's 1533-position model. The record is from RNAcentral.
AUGAACGCUGGCGGCGUGCCUAAUACAUGCAGGUCGAGCGAACAGAUAAGGAGCUUGCUCCUUUGACGUUAGCGGCGGACGGGUGAGUAACACGUGGGUAACCUACCUAUAAGACUGGGAUAACUUCGGGAAACCGGAGCUAAUACCGGAUAACAUUUGGAACCGCAUGGUUCUAAAGUGAAAGAUGGUUUUGCUAUCACUUAUAGAUGGACCCGCGCCGUAUUAGCUAGUUGGUAAGGUAACGGCUUACCAAGGCAACGAUACGUAGCCGACCUGAGAGGGUGAUCGGCCACACUGGAACUGAGACACGGUCCAGACUCCUACGGGAGGCAGCAGUAGGGAAUCUUCCGCAAUGGGCGAAAGCCUGACGGAGCAACGCCGCGUGAGUGAUGAAGGGUUUCGGCUCGUAAAACUCUGUUAUUAGGGAAGAACAAACGUGUAAGUAACUGUGCACGUCUUGACGGUACCUAAUCAGAAAGCCACGGCUAACUACGUG